Molecule: long non-coding RNA, 860 nt
Filed under: Homo sapiens (human)
Lineage: Eukaryota; Metazoa; Chordata; Mammalia; Primates; Hominidae
Description: HSALNT0143803
Source: RNAcentral
GUAACAUCUGACAUUAGGUUAUACAAAGACUCUUCUUCCAUCUUGGGUUUCUCUUUCUCUGAGAUACCCCACUGUGGAAGAAGCAAACUUUUAUUGUGAUCAGAAAUCUAUGUGGCAAGGAACAGAUGUCUCUGAUCAACUGCCAGGAAAUACCUGAGACCUGCCAAGACCCACGUCGGUGAUUCUCCCCAGUAGAGCUUUAUGGUGACCACCCCAGUCAACCCAUGGAGUUCAGCUCUGCGAAAGGUGAAAGAGGCUCCUGGAUUCCCUUCCAAACAUUUGUAACAUAGGAAGACUUUCCCAAUCUCCGAGGACUUUCUGUCUUCCCUCUUUCCAUCUGAGAUGCCUUUUCACCAGACUCUGGAACUUCUGCAUUCAGGGUCGUGUCUGAAGCCAAAGUCAGGGACAUGGAUGGAGCUGGAAGCCAUUAUUCUCAGCAACCUAAUGAAGGAAGAGAAGAAGACCAAUUAUUGCGUGUUCUCACUUGUAAGUGGGAGCUGAAUAAUGAGAACACAUGGACACAUGGAGGGGAACAACACACACUGGCCCUGUCAGAGUGUGGGUGUGGAGGAGGGAGAGCAUCAGGAAGAAUAGCUAAUGGAUGCUAGUCUUAAUACCUAGGUGAUGGGAUGAUCUGUACAGCAAACCACCAUGGCAAAUGUUUACUUAUGCAACAAACCUGCACAUCCUACACACGCACCCCUGAACUUAAAAAAGAUAAAAUAAAAUAAUAAAAAUGUGCUCAAUUAAAAAUGAAAGUUAGAACUUAUUUGUAAAGAGGGUUUUUUAAAGUUGACAUAAAAUAAGCCAUUAUCCAUUUAUUGCAAAGGAACUGAGUUUACAGCAAAACAUAAGUCAAG